Molecule: ribosomal RNA, 1407 nt
Filed under: Staphylococcus aureus W62354
Lineage: Bacteria; Bacillati; Bacillota; Bacilli; Caryophanales; Staphylococcaceae
Description: bacterial SSU rRNA
Rfam family: Bacterial small subunit ribosomal RNA
Source: RNAcentral
GACUGGGAUAACUUCGGGAAACCGGAGCUAAUACCGGAUAAUAUUUUGAACCGCAUGGUUCAAAAGUAAAAGACGGUCUUGCUGUCACUUAUAGAUGGAUCCGCGCUGCAUUAGCUAGUUGGUAAGGUAACGGCUUACCAAGGCAACGAUGCAUAGCCGACCUGAGAGGGUGAUCGGCCACACUGGAACUGAGACACGGUCCAGACUCCUACGGGAGGCAGCAGUAGGGAAUCUUCCGCAAUGGGCGAAAGCCUGACGGAGCAACGCCGCGUGAGUGAUGAAGGUCUUCGGAUCGUAAAACUCUGUUAUUAGGGAAGAACAUAUGUGUAAGUAACUGUGCACAUCUUGACGGUACCUAAUCAGAAAGCCACGGCUAACUACGUGCCAGCAGCCGCGGUAAUACGUAGGUGGCAAGCGUUAUCCGGAAUUAUUGGGCGUAAAGCGCGCGUAGGCGGUUUUUUAAGUCUGAUGUGAAAGCCCACGGCUCAACCGUGGAGGGUCAUUGGAAACUGGAAAACUUGAGUGCAGAAGAGGAAAGUGGAAUUCCAUGUGUAGCGGUGAAAUGCGCAGAGAUAUGGAGGAACACCAGUGGCGAAGGCGACUUUCUGGUCUGUAACUGACGCUGAUGUGCGAAAGCGUGGGGAUCAAACAGGAUUAGAUACCCUGGUAGUCCACGCCGUAAACGAUGAGUGCUAAGUGUUAGGGGGUUUCCGCCCCUUAGUGCUGCAGCUAACGCAUUAAGCACUCCGCCUGGGGAGUACGACCGCAAGGUUGAAACUCAAAGGAAUUGACGGGGACCCGCACAAGCGGUGGAGCAUGUGGUUUAAUUCGAAGCAACGCGAAGAACCUUACCAAAUCUUGACAUCCUUUGACAACUCUAGAGAUAGAGCCUUCCCCUUCGGGGGACAAAGUGACAGGUGGUGCAUGGUUGUCGUCAGCUCGUGUCGUGAGAUGUUGGGUUAAGUCCCGCAACGAGCGCAACCCUUAAGCUUAGUUGCCAUCAUUAAGUUGGGCACUCUAAGUUGACUGCCGGUGACAAACCGGAGGAAGGUGGGGAUGACGUCAAAUCAUCAUGCCCCUUAUGAUUUGGGCUACACACGUGCUACAAUGGACAAUACAAAGGGCAGCGAAACCGCGAGGUCAAGCAAAUCCCAUAAAGUUGUUCUCAGUUCGGAUUGUAGUCUGCAACUCGACUACAUGAAGCUGGAAUCGCUAGUAAUCGUAGAUCAGCAUGCUACGGUGAAUACGUUCCCGGGUCUUGUACACACCGCCCGUCACACCACGAGAGUUUGUAACACCCGAAGCCGGUGGAGUAACCUUUUAGGAGCUAGCCGUCGAAGGUGGGACAAAUGAUUGGGGUGAAGUCGUAACAAGGUAGCCGUAUCGGAAGGUGCGGCUGGAUCACCU